UGAAGCCCAGCUUGCUGGGUGGAUCAGUGGCGAACGGGUGAGUAACACGUGAGCAACCUGCCCUCCACUUCGGGAUAAGCCUUGGAAACGGGGUCUAAUACCGGAUAUGAGCGCUCAUCGCAUGGUGGGUGUUGGAAAGUUUUUCGGUGGGGGAUGGGCUCGCGGCCUAUCAGCUUGUUGGUGGGGUGAUGGCCUACCAAGGCGUCGACGGGUAGCCGGCCUGAGAGGGCGACCGGCCACACUGGGACUGAGACACGGCCCAGACUCCUACGGGAGGCAGCAGUGGGGAAUAUUGCACAAUGGGCGCAAGCCUGAUGCAGCGACGCCGCGUGAGGGAUGACGGCCUUCGGGUUGUAAACCUCUUUCAGCAGGGAAGAAGCGCAAGUGACGGUACCUGCAGAAGAAGCGCCGGCUAACUACGUGCCAGACCUGGCGGUACGGUGCUACCAUGCAGUCGACGGUGAAGCCCA
This 470-nucleotide ribosomal RNA is filed under the name Isoptericola variabilis. Its description in RNAcentral is "bacterial SSU rRNA". It matches the Rfam family "Bacterial small subunit ribosomal RNA", at positions 70 to 541 of the family's 1533-position model. Lineage: Bacteria; Bacillati; Actinomycetota; Actinomycetes; Micrococcales; Promicromonosporaceae. The record is from RNAcentral.